CUUGAGUGGCGGGCAGCAGCAGUGAAUAGGCGGCCUGAUACUGCGUGACGCGACGGGAAAGCGGGGAGGUAGCGGCCGGUGGCGGCGGCGGCGGCGGCGGCGACAGCGGCGACCCGGGAAUCCAGCUAGAGGGACCUGGGGAGCGUACCGAGACCUCUAGCUGGAGCCCGAAGGACGUCCCGCCGAGAUGCCUGGGGAGCAGAUGGACCCUACUGGAAGUCAGUUGGAUUCAGAUUUCUCUCAGCAAGAUACUCCUUGCCUGAUAAUUGAAGAUUCUCAGCCUGAAAGCCAGGUUCUUGAAGAUGAUUCUCACUUUAGUGUGCUUUCUCGACACCUUCCAAAUCUCCAGAUGCACAAAGAGAACCCUGUGUUGGAUGUUGUGUCCACUCCUGAACAGACAGCUGAACAGGGAGACCAUAAUAGUGGGCUCAAUGAACAUUUGAAAGAAAACAAGGCUGCAGACCUUGUGGAUUCUUCUCAUUUGGAUACAUGUAGUUCCAUCAGUCAGGUCAUUGAUCCGUUACCUCAGCCAAACAGGACAAGCAGUGUUCUAGGAAUGUCAUUGGAAUCUGUUCCUACUGAUGGGGAAGAGAAGGAAGAAGAAUUGGAAGAGAAGGGGAAAGAGGAGGUAGAAGACGACACUUCAGAUGAUACCACACAUGCCCUUGGUGCUGAAGAUCCUGCUUCAUCACAGCUGGGCUUUGGGGUCCUGGAACUCUCUCAGAGUCAGGAUGUUGAAGAACAUAUUGUGCCAUAUGAAGCAGACAAAGAACACCUACAGUUAAUAACCACCAACUCUGGUUAUAACAGGCUUUCCGAUGUGGCUGCAGAUGCUGUUAAGCAAGAAGAAGAGCUGUGCAGUGAAGAUAUUCCCAUGGCAGAACAGCUCCCCAAGGACUCCCCUGUGACACUACUGCCCGGUAAAGCUGUGCAUGUGGUAGAAGAGCAAAGUCCAGCACCAGCAAGGUAAACUGUACUUUCUUCCCUUCCCUUCCCCUCCCCUCCCACCCCUCCUUCCACUCCACUCCCACGUCUCAUUC
RNAcentral lists this long non-coding RNA (1040 nucleotides) under Cavia porcellus (domestic guinea pig). RNAcentral's name for it is "lncRNA (ENSCPOG00000036102.1)". The record is from RNAcentral. Lineage: Eukaryota; Metazoa; Chordata; Mammalia; Rodentia; Caviidae.